GAUCAGGGAGGGGGAUCAAUUUCAUCUUAAACUUGUGGAAAGGAAAGUUUUGGAGCCCAUGAUCAGAACUCUCCUCUCAGAGAAGCAAGACACUGAACAGACAGAAUGAACAGAAUACAGUACAGAAACAAUGAAGUACAGAAAAGCAUUUUAUAAAAUACAGAGAGCAUGGAGAUAUUAAAGGCACAUUAAGGAAAUGUCAUGGUGGCCACUCCGUCCUUUAAUGGACCAAAAACUGAAAUGUUUGGAGGUAUGGAUAAUGUUCUGUUCAGAAAGGUAUUACCGUGGCUGGGUUGGGCAUAUGGUUGUUUCAUGGAACCUACAUUGAUGUCUAUCCAGCCUUGCUUACAAUACUAACCAAUAUUUGCAUUACAUAAUUUUAUUGGGCAAACGCCAAUUCGAAUUCAGUUGUAGAUAAAGGGGGUUGUUUAAAUGUAAUGAUGACGCUAUUGUUUUUACUGUUUUUUUGUUUGUUGGUUUUACUUCUGUGUUGGUUGGUUGGUUGGUUGGUUGGUUGUGAAAUAAAUGUAAAGCUCCUAAAAGCAGUGAUGGUGCAUUGUCUGCAUAAAAUCAGUUACAGACAUGUAGAAUCGGAUAAACUCAGGUAUGGUGGGAUCUGCUGCCAGUCUGUGGGUUUGGAAUGGAAGCUUGCCAUUCACUGUGUAUACAGUCAGUAUGUCGAACCUCACAAAGGUACACAUGGGCUGGGUAUGCGGGCUCAUUGUACACAUAGUGAGUGAGGACCUCAUGACUGCAUACCCAUCCUGUGUGUGCUGGGACAAUGUUUACAAGAACCCUGCUCUCUGCACACACUGCCACACAUACAGUGAGCAUCACCGACAUCAAAAUUAGUAAUGCUGAUUGCACGCGGGUGUAGAGAACCAGGUGCCUGUAAACAUUGUCCUGGCAUGCACAGUGAGAUGUAGUGGCGGUAUAAAGGACGUGCCAUUGAGAAUGCAUUCUGAGUGAUACCAAACUUGUCUGAUCUGAACUAGAAACUGCACAAUAAGGCGAAACGCGUAUUCUCUUCUGGUUGUGUAAUUCUAUGUCGACAGGUCUUCAAGGACUAUCUGAUAAUCCUUUCACUUUUAGGUUAAGAAUCAGUUUGGGCACUAUCUUGUCUUUCAGGGAUUGUUGUUGUUUUUUUAUAGAUACCUUUAAAACCAGUAUAAAAAGGAUUAAUAUUAAAGGUUUUAACAGAUGCGGUUCAUGUCUGAUUUGCCGAACAACAAGUAAUAACAACAAUCCAAGGAAAACCACCACUUUUCAGAUAAAUAACAAUAAAAUCUUUAUGAUCAACAGUUUCGUUACAUGCCACCCUCAAAAUGAUAUUUAUUUUCUAGAGUGCACAUGUGGGUUAAUAUAUGUAGGCACAACCACCAGGAACCUUAAAACACAUAUGUCAGAACAUAUAUAUAAUAUCAGAAAGGGACAGUUAAGUCACCCCCUUUCUGAACAUUUUAGAAUUACCUACAAUAGUUCAGAGGCAUGUAUUAAAAGAUAUAUAGAUAUACAACAAGUUAGGGAAUACUGGAGAACAAGGGAUUUGGAACAAAGACUAGCAAAAAAAAAAAGAUGCAAUAGAUCUAUUCCAUUAAUAGUCUAUUUACAAAUGGGCUGAAUUCAAACUUUGAAUUAAAAUGGUUUUUAAAUUAAAAUGCAAUUUAAAUUAUGUUUUUUAACCUGCAUUUUUAUUUUAUCUCUUCACAUAUUUCUCCUGGAUCUACUUGAAAAUAUGCGUACUUUAAAUUCCAUGCACCAAUGAGGGUUGGACAAUGCGGGAAUACAAAGAACCACGGUAGUUGUGAAUGGUGCAGGAGAUAUGUCCAAUUGUCUGGAAUGGUAAACACAAAAACCGACCCACUAAAGAAUCCAUAUCAUUCGGAAUAGUGUAAUACAUAAAUUGUAACGCAUAUGACACACCCCCAUUGUCUCCAUGGCUCAACGUAUACUUCCGGUUUCCGAUGGAACGCAUACUUCCGUCUACCGGUAAUAGCGGUGGAACGCAAACGGCGGGAGAACCAUUUUCCGGAUCUACAGUUUAAUAUCAGCAAAUACUGAGGCAUAGCAUGCUGCACUUGAAAAAGGAUCAUCAACAAGAUCUGGAAGUGCUGUGCCAAACACUAUGCCACAUUAGAUGGACUCCUGAGGACUCAACUAUUCUGACUUGUGCAAAGCCGGGUGGUGUGUGGCUGAACUUGCCUACACGUUAUCUAUCGUAAGCACACACCACCAGCCACAAGCUGUAUGAGCCAGGAGUAACCUACCAUAUGUCACUUUUUGCACUUUACAACUCUUUAAAUAAUUUAUUGUUAUGUUAUAUACUAAGCUGUGCACUGUGCCACAAUUUAUGCUUAUUGUAUAUGAAUAUUUAAUAUAAUUGUACCUUCCCCUUUUUAUCCAUACCAAAAAAUUUGAGUGUGGUUUAUUAAGGGAGAUACAUUAAAUUCCAGUAAUCUGGAAUCAAUAUCCCUCAAGAGUAAGCGCUAAGGUUUUUUACCUUCAUCUUUUUUAUCAUAUACUUUACAAGUAACGAGGUGUCUAACUUGUUUGGUAAAAAAACAUUGCUGCAUAUACUCUGUUCGCUGCACAUUUGUGAUACUCUGCACUGCACCCUGAUUCUCUAUAAUUAACCUACUGGAAAUUGGAGUACCCAGAGGAAACCCACACAAGUGGAGAGAAUAUACAGACUCCACACAGUUAGGGCCAUGGUGGGAAUCAAACCCAUGACCUCAUUGCUGUGAGGCAGUAAUGCUAAUCAUUACACCAUCCGUGCUGCUAACCAUUAUUACACCCAUAAAGCUAACCAUUACACCAUCUUGA
This is a long non-coding RNA of Pseudophryne corroboree (corroboree frog), 2823 nucleotides long. RefSeq lists it as uncharacterized. Lineage: Eukaryota; Metazoa; Chordata; Amphibia; Anura; Myobatrachidae. The transcript has 3 exons. The record is from RefSeq and is a predicted model, not a curated record.